GGGAGCCUGAGAAACGGCUACCACAUCUAAGGAAGGCAGCAGGCGCGCAAAUUACCCAAUCCUAAUACAGGGAGGUAGUGACAAGAAAUAACAAUACAGGACUUUUUGGUUUUGUAAUUGGAAUGAGUUAAGUAUAAACCCCUUUACAAGUAUCAAUUGGAGGGCAAGUCUGGUGCCAGCAGCCGCGGUAAUUCCAGCUCCAAUAGCGUAUAUUAAAGUUGUUGCAGUUAAAAAGCUCGUAGUUGGAUUUCUGUUAAUAAUUUAUAUAAAAUAUUUUGAUGAAUAUUUAUAUAAUAUUAACAUAAUUCAUAUUACUAUAUAUUUUAGUAUAUGAAAUUUUACUUUGAGAAAAUUAGAGUGCUUAAAGCAGGCAUAUGCCUUGAAUACUCCAGCAUGGAAUAAUAUUAAAGAUUUUUAUCUUUCUUAUUGGUUCUAAGAUAAGAAUAAUGAUUAAUAGGGACAGUUGGGGGCAU
This 473-nucleotide ribosomal RNA is filed under the name Cryptosporidium parvum. RNAcentral's name for it is "SSU rRNA". It matches the Rfam family "Eukaryotic small subunit ribosomal RNA", at positions 390 to 891 of the family's 1831-position model. Lineage: Eukaryota; Apicomplexa; Conoidasida; Eucoccidiorida; Cryptosporidiidae. The record is from RNAcentral.